Molecule: long non-coding RNA, 3508 nt
Organism: Homo sapiens (human)
Lineage: Eukaryota; Metazoa; Chordata; Mammalia; Primates; Hominidae
Exons: 3
Source: RefSeq, a predicted model, not a curated record
AGGCCCAGCCCACGGUGCAGCGCGCGCGGAGCCCUCGCCUUCCUCCGACGCACUGUGGGGCUGCAGGGGAAGCUGCGGGCCGUGGGGGCCGGAGGAGAAGCCGGCUCCACGCGCAGCUGCUGUACGGAACGCCGUGGUGACAAUUGUUAUUACUAUUUUUAUGCUUAAUGGCAAUGACCACUAUUAUUUAUUAUUUUCUCUCGAUUACAGGAUGCUUUACUUGGGUGUCUAGAAUAUGGGCUGGCAUUCUUUAAGGCUGCACUUUUGUGCAGCCGGGUCCCGGGGCUAAUUUUGCAGUGCUCUCGAAAAGCGGGCAUUCGGUUUUCUUUCUCUUCCUUUCAUGCAACCUGUUUUCUCUUUCUGAUCCUUUAAAGUUCCUGGCUGAGGCUGGAUUGUGUAGAAAUAAGGGCAUUAGGGAUCCAAGCGGGCCAUAAAAGAAACCCAUUUCUCACUGUCAUCGUCCUCUGUUCUGGUUAUCAUAUUGUGACGUGUCGCCUCUGUCAUGGUGUUGAUGAACCUGUGUGUGCAGUCAUAGAUACAUCGUGUGUGUUUGCAAAAAUGUGCGUGUUUCUCUGGAGAUUUGAGGGGGAAAGAGCACUAGAAAGAGCUCAUCUGAUAGAUGCGGAAAUCCGAACUCAGAAAGUAAACUAGGUAGAGCUUCCUUCCAGGUUUGGUUUUUUCUAAGUACUAGCGCAGGAACUUUAUAACAGAAGUUGGAAAAUGAGAGACUUCUGUAUAAAUCUUUCUAGCUUUGGGGAUCUUUCAAGAUUCACACCAUAACCAUGUCUUCCUUUUUCUCCUUAGUAGCAAACAUGUUUUAAAACAAUCAAUGAAAAAAGUAGAAAAGUUUUAACAAAAAAGUAAUCAGACUCUGGAAAAUAUUAUGCAACUUGUUUUCCUUUACAGUAGUAGUGUACUGUUUCUUUUCCUUGUAAGUUUACUGUGUCCCAAUUAUACUGCUGCCCCAGACUAUGAAUUUAUUUCCACUUUUGCUGUUAUCUACACCAUAGAUUCAUUAGUUUCUCAGAAAUACAAAGCUGAAAAUAAAAGGCAGCUCUGUGGCUAAGAUUAGUCUCAAGUAAUAUAUAUCGUGCAUAUUUUGUAAAUGUGAAAAAAGGUUUAUAUUUUUAAGCAUAAAAAAUGACAGUGUAAAUUGAGUCAGGUACCUAUGCUCUUCAAGAUCGUUGGAACCAUGAGAACUACAGGAAUUCAGUUUUACUGACUGACGUUUGGCCUUUAAAAUUUAUGCUUAGCUUUGUGUAGUCGAAAGCAAGGCUUCUGAAUGCUUUUUCAAAAAAUGCUUUGUCACACUUGGAAUCCGCAGGCAUCCAGGUAUCAUUCCUUGCAGAUUUCUUCUAGCAAGUAUGAGACUAAAACCUAGGGCGGUUUAAUAUGUAAUCUCAGGUGUGAACAUUUUGUCUUCUAUUUCUACCACUUAGUACCAAACAUUUAGGCAAAUGAGAUAGUUAUUAUGAAAAUUAAAUCCAUGGCUUGGUAUAUUUUAUAUGUAUAUAUGUUAUUCUAACACAUCUGACUCGCUUUGUCUAUGGAAAUGAUAUAUCAGUAUAGGAUGAGUUUAGACAGGACAAACAAAAUUCAAUUUAGAUUAUUUUAUAGUUCUUAUAUUUUUGAAAAUAUUAUCCCCUCAAUUUUCUUUCUUCUUUUGUAAAAUAACGUGUUUUUGAAAUAAUGAAUAACUCCCUUUUGGAUUUUAAGGGUCUGCUUUUUCUGAUGUAUGUACGGUCAGCCUAUUUAUUUGUUCCGUCCCCUUUGCAGUUUGGCAGAACCUUAUGAAGAAGCUUCCCAAACUGAACCACAGUGCUUUCACUCUAUUAGCAAAUUGUACUAAAGAUGCCAGCGUAAUGAUGAGUGCCAAGGUUAUAGACAUCCUGCAUUUUUUAAAUGUUGCUAAAAUGAGAUAAAAGCCUUAUGCAGAAGCAACCGCAGGCACCCCGCAGGGCGAAUGAGGAAAGAUCCAGCUCUGACAGAAUAAUGAGUUGUGCAAAGUGAAGGCCAAAUGACAUCACCGGAGAUAGCAGUAGUUCAAAGAAAGCAAAGCAGAGGAAUUGAACUGCUGCAAAAUGCACGGAAUACCUGAGGCUGGGCAAUUUAUGAAGAAACAGACACAUUUGGCUCAUGGUUCAGCAGGCUGUACAAGAAGCAUGGUGCCAGCAUCUGCUUGUGGUGAGGGUCCAGGCUGCUUUCACUCAUGGCGGAAGGCAAAGGGGAGCUGGUGUGCAGAGAUCACACAGCAACAGCAGAAGCAAGAGAGAGGGGUAAGGUGCCAGACUCUAUUUAACAACCAGUUAUUAUGGGAACCAACAGCGAGGACUCACUCACUCACUUGCUCAGUAGUACCAAGCCAUUCAUGAGGGAUCCACCCCCAUGACCUAGACACCUCCCACCUCACAUUAAGCUUUACCUUCCACAUUGGAGAUCAAAUUUCAAUAUGAGCUUAAGGGGACAAACAUCCAAGCAUCCAAUAGCAGAUAAUUAACCUCAAAAUUAUCCUUGACUUGUCCUUCUCAUUUACCCUCAGUAGCCUCUGAAAUAUCUCUUAUGUUUGCCUCUUGCUCCCCAUGCCCCUUGCUACCAUCCCAGGCCUAGCGGUCAUUGCCCCAAACCUUGUCCACAGCCAUGGUUUCCUAACCCUUCUUGUUUCCAGCCACGUCCCCUCCAUUCCAUUUUUCUGCCACCAAACUAACCUAAAAUGGCCAAUUUCAUAGUUUCACUCUCUGCUGAUCAAAUUUCCUGAUUCUUUUUACCUAUGUUUGUUUUGUGUCAUCUUCAACAUUUUCUUACAUACAGUAAAUACUUGCUUAAUAAAAAGUACUAAGAGUGAUUGAAAUAAGGAAGUUCGGUCAUGUGAAUUCAUUGGAGCUAUGUUGACUAUCCUUUGGCCUAGUUUAUAGAAAAUUACCAGCUGAUUCAUAUCUCUAUUUAAGGAAUGGAGAACUUUGCCAGAAAUAUUUUUAUAUUGCAGCUGCAAAUAAGAUAGAGUUUUCAUCUGGACCUCAAUUUCCUUACCUUACAAUAGAGAAAAAUGCCACCUAUGGAUAUCCUAGAUUUGCUGGAAGUAUUACAUGUGAUGGAUUAAGGCACCCAGCAUGGGAUAUCCCACAGAUGCAAAAUGAAUCCUACUUGAGUCUUAGUACAAAAAGAUUGAAUGAAUGAAUUUGAUGGCAAAAUGAAAUGAUGAAUCAUUUUAUAUAAAUCACAAUUUAUAAAAUUCAGAUUCAACUAAAAUUUGGCACUAAUUAUGACCUCUGUGUUAGGUAUAUUAACACAUACAUCAUCUUCUCAUGUAUUCUUAGAAGUAACCCUGUGAUACAGGUGGUCUUUUUUUCAAUGUACAGACAAGUUUAGCUGAGAAAAGGGAAAAUGCCUUACUCCAGGAUUGUUGGUAUAUACUGGAAUUAGGGUUUGUCUCUAAGAUUUAUGAUUCCAUAUCUUUUUGUUUUACAUUUUUCUUUACUUUCUUUCUUUUUUUUUUAAGAUGGAGUCUUGC